Benincasa hispida (wax gourd) is the source of this 1326-nucleotide RNA transcript. RefSeq lists it as uncharacterized. The record is from RefSeq and is a predicted model, not a curated record. NCBI's taxonomy places the organism in Eukaryota, Viridiplantae, Streptophyta, Magnoliopsida, Cucurbitales, Cucurbitaceae.
GCAAUGCUGGGCACUCCAUUCCAGUAACAAGCUCUUGGCCUAAAUUGGCGCAUGCUAGCAGUGAAUGGUGCGUUGGCCCAGUUUGUUUUCACACGACCUCCUUGUGUUGCCCAAUCAUCUGCAUUCCACAAACUGGUAUGAGACACAUGGAGAUAUAAUCGAGAAAAAUGAUAUUAUUUGUCACCUGUACUGUUGUCCAAAACAAGCUGAAGGCUAUCCCCUAGUAUUUUGGACUGACUAUUUCCCCAGCUUAUGACCAUGUUCUUUGAAAUAUUUGCAUCAACAACAAUAUGAUUAGACACAAUCACACAGACCAAAAAGGCUAAAGAAAAAGAUUGAAACCUUGCCAUUUCAAUCCCAAUAUCAGGCGAUCGAGAGUGAGUUGAUCGAGGGUUUACUUUGAAGGUAGUGCGUUUAUCAAUGAUCAAAGCAAUUAGAGGGUGAAGAAGAAGAUGCACAGAAGAUUAUAGUGGUUUGACUUUCAUUGUUCAGAAGACGAAAUUCGGGUGGUUGAGUUGAGCUGGUGGCUGAGCUGGGUUGACUUUACAAAACAACAAAUCUCUCUCUUGAAGUAAAUUCAGCUUGGAGACAUUCAACUUGUUAAUUACUCUUUUCUGUCUAAAUCCACUACUUUGAGUAGAUUUAAACAAAGGUCAAAGUUAGGUUUGGGUAAUGAUUUUGUUAGAAAAUCUACAACAGUUUUCUUCUGUUUUAACUUUAAUAUUCUGAUUACUCAAUUUUCAACCAUUUCUCUGACAAAAUGUAGUUUGACAUCGAUAUGCUUAGUUCGGUCGUGGUAUUGUUGGUUUCUGGUGAGAUGGAUUGCGCAUACUGCUUCUUGUCUGUACUCUUAGGCAAAUCCAGUUAGGGGUCUUCUUUUAUCAGAAUCCAAAGUCAGCGUCCAUGAAUUCUUUAAUCGAUAGUUUAUGUUCAUUAGGAUGUUCAGUUUCAAAUAGGUAUCUGAAUACCCAUUUGGCUGCCUCCGAAUGAUUCUUGCUAGGGUUCCCCAUGUAACGACUAACAAAGCUUGAGUUGUGUGCUAGAUUUGGUUUAGUAUAGACCAUUAAGUACAUCAAGCUUCCUGUGGUAUUAGAACAGAGGAUAUGGCUCUUGGCUUGUUUGUCAGCUGGCUCUUUAGGAGAAUCUCUUGUUUGAGAGUUUAACGUGUUGUGCUAGAGGUGCAGAGACCGAAGGAAUCCAUUCCUUGUAAAAGCAUGUGAACGUCAUGUAAUUGAAUUUCAAUUUUGGAAAACAUCAAAAUCAGAGAUGAACAUACAAUCUUAUGUACAACAGUCUAUAAGCAUGCUUUCUACAUAGAAUUAGAGA